CCGCUUUGACGGAAUACGCAACGAUGGUCGAGUUACCGUGGUCAGCUAUUCCAAGCAGGAAUCUGACGAGCAUCGAGGAAGGCCAUAACAGCGACCGCCAACCCGAUCAGAAGCUCGUCGAGACUCUGGCACGGGGGUAUUUGUGGGCAGGUUCGUUGUCGGACGGCACAUACACAUCCAUCGAGCAACUGGCGAAAUCUGUCCGUCUUCAUCCGAAUAUCAUCCGCCAGGGUCUAAGAG
This 240-nucleotide unclassified non-coding RNA is filed under the name Hevea brasiliensis (rubber tree). Lineage: Eukaryota; Viridiplantae; Streptophyta; Magnoliopsida; Malpighiales; Euphorbiaceae. The record is from RNAcentral.